UGCCCAUCUAAACAGAAAAUGCUUAGGGAAAAAUAGCUGGUUUUAAAAUCGCGUCUCUUUGAAUGAGUUAACUGCUUUGAUUUACUGAAUUAAGCUUUUGAAGCACAAACCAAUUUUUUUUUUUUUGUUUUUUUUCUUUCAAAUGACAUUAUGAGCCGACUCUACUCGCCGACUCGACAGAUAGUCGCAGGUUACUUGAGAUAAACUACCUGGAGGACAAGCAAGACACCUUUGGAAAGUGGACUCGAGGGCCUUCGUGGUUUUGUAAAAGUACAAGAAUGAACCCCGUGAAUAUGAACAGUUUGAACGUAUCCAUCUCUGGAAACCAGCACGCGAAUCAGUUCGCCGUCUAUGAGUCUCCGCUGUACAAGGACUACAGACCUCCAGCCAGAGAUCUGAUCCAGCUCCCCAGAGCCCUGCUCUACCUGAUGAUGGCCGCGGUGGUGGUGGUCGCUGUCGCUUAUGCCAUUGUGGGACAUUUAAUUAAAGACCUCGCGCAUGACAUCUUGGACUGGGCUUUGGGUCCAGAUGAGGAGAUCUUAAAGGUCAACAGUGAGGCGGGUGAUGAUGGUUCCACGCACAUGCCACCAGGCCUCACACACUCCCACCCCAACGCCUUUCAUGUUUGGGAUCAGGACGACGUGGUCAUCCCCCUCUCUCCAGUGGACAGCCCUCAAACCAGCCCCCUUUUGGCUACCAUCCCUUUUAUCCCUCACUUCUUCCCCUCUCCUGCUUCUCACAGUGUGCUGAAUAGCCCCGCACUGCCUCAAAUACACCCAGAGGAUAACAAGAGCCCCACAAAGACACCACAAGAUGCCUAUGUCUUCCCUUCACCCAAAAUGAAAGGACAUAGUUCCGCUUUCUCACACAUGUCAUUUCAUGAGAGAAGAGAUGGGACUGAUAAAGUUUGAACCACCGAACAAUGGCUCACACUAGAUUGUAGUCCAUGAAUUCUUAAAGGAAUAGUUCACCAUAAAAAGAAAAUUUGCUGAAUAUUUACUCACUCUCAGGACAUCCAAGAUGUCAAUAAGUUUGUUUCUUCAUCAGAACAGUUUUGGAGAAAUUAUAUCACUUGCUCACCAGUGGAUCCUCUGCAGUGAAUGGGUGCCGUCAGACUGAGAGUCCAAACAGCUGAUAAAAACAUCACAAAAAUCUACACCUUAUGAAGUGAAAAAUGGCAUGUUUGCAAUAAGCAAAUCCAUUAUUAAGAUGCUUUUAAUAAUGAAUUCGUAAAUUUUCUUUAAUAAUUAACUUUCUCUUGUGAAAAUGUUGUCUUGUCUGAAUCAGGAGUGAAAUAUCCACAAAUCAAGUACUGUUUACAAGCGAAAACAUUAAAAACUACAAAACAGUUCUAAACAAAUAUGUUGGUGGAUUUUAAUGUGAGAGGACAAGAGGAUGGACUUUUUCCACUGUUUAUUUUAUUAUGGACUUCAUAAUCAUGGACUUUUUUUUGGCCAAAAGUGACAAUUAAAAGUUAACAUUCCUUGAUGGAUUUGUUUCUUACAAACACAAAGUUUACACUUCCCAAUACGUUAAUUGUUUGACUAAAAUCUUGUUGAUUUCUUGUGGAUUAUUUUUAUCAGCUGUUUGCACUCUCAUUCUGACGGCACCCAUUCACUGCAGAGGAUCCUCUGGUGAGCAAGUGAUGUAAUGCUAAAUUUAUACAAAUCUUUUCAGAUGAGGAAACAAACUCAUCCUCAUCUUGGAUAGCUUGAGGGUGAGGACAUUUUUAUUUUUGGGUGAACUAUUUUUUUAAGUUUAAAUCCCUCCCUUUAAAUAGAUGAAAUUAACUAAGAAACUUUUGGCUUCUUUGAUCAAUGCCCAAUGCCGGUGUUGUCUGUAUUUACCACAGUACCCUAAACUUUUCUAUUUGACUGCAAAAGCUGGGCCUCAACCUGUGGAGCAUAUGAGGAUGAGUGGCCUGUCCUCAAAAUAAGUGCUGUUGACCCUAAAUGACCUCAGUAAGCAGAGAGCAAUGUCAGUCCAAGCCGCAUUACUUGGGCGUGUUGCAAAGUGAGAGACUGCACAAUCACGUCUGUAGGAUUGUGCCAAUUCAGGAGCAGCCUUCCUCCUGAAGCCAAAAUAAAUCCUCAGAACAGAUUUAGUUCA
Long non-coding RNA from Cyprinus carpio (common carp), 2109 nucleotides. The record is from Ensembl. NCBI's taxonomy places the organism in Eukaryota, Metazoa, Chordata, Actinopteri, Cypriniformes, Cyprinidae.